UGUGUAAAUAAUGUAGAGUGAUAAUAUUUCUGUUUCCUCUUACUAGGCCGAGCGAAGGCAAUCUUUGAUGUUCACUGUUGUAAAUACUCCAAAGAACAGCACUCGCGGUGACAGCAGGCUGCAGCGUGGCCUCAACAAGCUGCGUAACAGCGCCCGCAAAUCUCCCGCCGUGGCCGGUCGUGCCCUGCGUUCGGCGGUGGCCGGCAAGUCUCCUCGGGACUCCACUCUGAGAAAAUCUCCCCGAAACAAGUCGCCCAAAUCCUCCAAUGCCAAAAAGGGAACACAGUGACUUGCUGCGCUGAUCUAUGCUGAUCUAAGUAUUUAACUAUGAAGAUCAGGAUUAAGGUUUAAAUUUGAGAAUUCAACUGCAAAACCAUCUGUUCCCUUUUCUUUUUCUUUUUUUAUUUGUUUAUCUUUUCUCUUUGUAAUUAAGUUAUUUUUAUUAUGGGAUGCAGUGGUCUUAAUUACUGUCCUGUUUAUGUAACUGGUUGUAUAAUAUUUAAAUGUAUUCC
Long non-coding RNA from Sinocyclocheilus grahami, 512 nucleotides. Lineage: Eukaryota; Metazoa; Chordata; Actinopteri; Cypriniformes; Cyprinidae. The record is from Ensembl.